Corvus hawaiiensis (hawaiian crow) is the source of this 1881-nucleotide RNA transcript. RefSeq lists it as uncharacterized. The record is from RefSeq and is a predicted model, not a curated record. Lineage: Eukaryota; Metazoa; Chordata; Aves; Passeriformes; Corvidae. The transcript has 3 exons.
GAUUUCCACAGAGCAGCAUUCUCCAAGCUGCCUCACAACCCAAAAAUCACCCGGUGGAGAGUGGUGGAGAGGGAAGAGUGACAAUUCCAGCCCUCAGGGAGAUCUCUGGGGUGAACCUGGGACGAUGAAUUCCUCCAAGAUGGGCUUAAUGGAUUGUUGGGGAUUUGGGGUUGUGGAGUAGGAUCAAAUCCGAGUGUUCGAGUUGUUCUAAUUACAGCCAGGCUCCUUUGAAGGAGCAGAGAGGCCUCAGCCAUCUAUAACAUCGCUGGAGGAGAAAAUUGAAGGGCUAUGUGCCCAAUUAAAUAACCCGCGGGGCUGGAAUUGAGAAUCAAUGUGCCAUGAACGAUGAGGGAUGGGCUGCUGGCGCCCAGCGCUCCAUCCACCUCCACAGCCUCGCAUCCCUGCAAGGACAGGACGGGAAUUCUGCCGCUCUCACUGUCCAGCCUUGGCGGGAGAAGGGCUCGGCGUUGUCCUGUGGGCUGGGACACUCUGGAUCUGCAGAGCCCUGGGCUGCUCAGGACCAAGAGCAGAGCGGGCCCUCUGUCUCCCUGGAUGUGUUUUUCCAUCAUCUGGGCAUUUUCCAGCUGGGAUUCAGGGCACCUGGACAAGCCCAAAAAGACCUGGACGAGCCCAGAAAUGGCUCCUCAUGAAGCUCUGCAAGGCCAAGAGAGGAGAAAUCCAGGAGCAACCUCUCCCUAGCCCAGCACACGGCCUUGGCCAGGGAGAGGAGGGAAAAAAAAGGAUGGAGGAGGAGAAGACCAGGCUCUUUCUUCCUCCCCUGGCUGGUGACAGGAUCCAAUCUCCUCAUGGUGUCCCCAAGCCUCUGUGCCCAGCAGGGACUCGCUUUUCUGUGCGUGAUCCCACCAGGAAUCCAUCCAUGGAGCUGCCGGUCGCGGUCACUCCUCCCAUGCCACAGAACCCACAAAUGCCGUCCUGAGCUGCUCCUGUUCCUUUUCCCUGUCCAUGGGAUGCGGCUGGAGCAAGGCAGGGAUGCAGGAAAGGAGUGUGCGCCUGGAUCCUGCUUUUUAUGGGAAGCCUGUGGUCCAGCCUGAGGAUUUUCUGUGGCGCCUCUGCCACGCCGAUUUUAUGAUUCCCAACACUUCUGCAUCCCCACGGAUCCCCACACCGCUCGGGAAUCCCCAGCAGGAGCAGCUUUAUUGACAGGAAAGGCUUUUUUUCUCAUCACAAAAAACUUCCUGCAGGAAAAGUGCUGUUUUCAAUCAAAUCCCGCUCGGGAGGGCAAAGAGAAGGGAAAAUUCUGUCACGGAGCUUUUUGGCUGAGUGAAAACAUCCCUAUUUCCACACAUCCGGAAGGGAAAGCUUCAAUUUUGCACCUCGAAACGAUUUUCACGCUGACAUUUCUUUUAUUCCACAUAAUCAGCCAGCUCUAAAUAUUAGAGUUUCGCCGCCAGAAGGAAACAUUUUGAGCGGCGUUUCCCCGCCUUCCCCACCUUCCCUUCUCCUUGCUUUCCCUCCCUUCAGGUGUUUGGAGAGAGCCGAGUUUUUCUCCCAGGCACUAAAAUUUCCGCUGCCUCUUUCCCUGAGGGGAAUUUUCAGCCUCUUUACCGACCCCCAAAAAAAGCCACAAAACUUCAUCUCUUCCCCCCCUAAUUUUUCCCACCUCUGCACGCCCCACAGCUGGAAUUUCUCCCUGCUUGAAUGUUCAUCCCAAAACUCCGGGUGGUUUCGACCAGCAACCAGGCUAGAGGAGAUUUAGAAAGAAGAUUAUGUGAAGAAGUAGUGGCCCUUUUUUUUGCCCCUUUUUCUCCUCAUCUCGUGCAAAUUACCCUAUUAUUCUGCUCCCUUAGGAUGCCUGAGUGUCCUUAUUUCUUCUUUUGAGCUAAAGUCACCCAUGCAUUAAAUUAGUUCUCUGCCUAGAAA